Molecule: ribosomal RNA, 433 nt
Filed under: uncultured bacterium
Lineage: Bacteria
Description: partial 16S ribosomal RNA
Rfam family: Bacterial small subunit ribosomal RNA
Source: RNAcentral
AGCGAACGCUGGCGGCAGGCCUAACACAUGCAAGUCGAACGAACCUUUCGGGGUUAGUGGCGGACGGGUGAGUAACACGUGGGAACGUGCCUUUAGGUUCGGAAUAACUCAGGGAAACUUGUGCUAAUACCGAAUGUGCCCUUCGGGGGAAAGAUUUAUCGCCUUUAGAGCGGCCCGCGUCUGAUUAGCUAGUUGGUUGAGGUAAUGGCUCACCAAGGCGACGAUCAGUAGCUGGUCUGAGAGGAUGAUCAGCCACAUUGGGACUGAGACACGGCCCAAACUCCUACGGGAGGCAGCAGUGGGGAAUCUUGCGCAAUGGGCGAAAGCCUGACGCAGCCAUGCCGCGUGAAUGAUGAAGGUCUUAGGAUUGUAAAAUUCUUUCACCGGGGACGAUAAUGGCGGUACCCGGAGAAGAAGCCCCGGCUAACUUCGU